AACUGUCUGGCUAGAGUACAGUAGAGGGUGGUGGAAUUUCCUGUGUAGCGGUGAAAUGCGUAGAUAUAGGAAGGAACACCAGUGGCGAAGGCGGC
This 95-nucleotide ribosomal RNA is filed under the name Gammaproteobacteria bacterium. RNAcentral's name for it is "partial 16S ribosomal RNA". It matches the Rfam family "Bacterial small subunit ribosomal RNA", at positions 631 to 725 of the family's 1533-position model. Lineage: Bacteria; Pseudomonadati; Pseudomonadota; Gammaproteobacteria. The record is from RNAcentral.